RNAcentral lists this unclassified non-coding RNA (253 nucleotides) under uncultured Nocardiopsaceae bacterium. Its description in RNAcentral is "contains 16S-23S intergenic spacer region". It matches the Rfam family "Bacterial small subunit ribosomal RNA", at positions 524 to 776 of the family's 1533-position model. Lineage: Bacteria; Bacillati; Actinomycetota; Actinomycetes; Streptosporangiales; Nocardiopsidaceae. The record is from RNAcentral.
UACGUAGGGUCCGAGCGCUGUCCGGAAUUAUUGGGCGUAAAGAGCUCGUAGGCGGCGUGACGCGUCUGAUGUGAAGGUCCACGGCUUAACUGUGGGUGUGCAGUGGAUACGGGCAUGCUUGAGGUAGGUAGGGGAGACUGGAAUUCCUGGUGUAGCGGCGAAAUGCGCAGAUAUCAGGAGGAACACCGGUGGCGAAGGCGGGUCUCUGGGCCUUACCUGACGCUGAGGAGCGAAAGCGUGGGUAGCGAACAGG